CCGGGCUGCGCUUUGCGCCCUGGAGCCGGUGAGCGGCUGUCGCCAUUGUUGGGGCUGCUCUUUAUGGCCCGGGGCAGAGCACCCAGGCCUCGCCAGGCAGGCUGGAGGUGUGCAGAGAGCCCAAGACCGAGCCGCGACGAAGCUCUGCAUGGACGGUUUGCCACCUAGGCGGAAAUAGCCCAGCCAAGCCGCUGCCCGGUAGACGUAUAAUCCAGGCCACAUAUCCACCCCUUAUGCAUGUGAAAACUGGACGUGAAAAAAGACGGUUGAAGAAUUGACGCAUUCAGAUUGUGGUGUUGGCGAAGAGUCUUGAAUAUACCGUGGAUCGCCAGAAGGAGCAAUCAGUCUUAGAAGAAAUAAAACCGGAAUGCUCCUUAGAAGCGAAGACGGAGAAACAUGGGCUCCCUUACUUUGGGCAUGUCAUCCAGAAAGACCAAUUGUUAAAAAGGAUAUCGCGGUUAGUACAGGGACAGUAAAAACGAGGGAAACCCUAGAUGAGAUGGGUUGACGCAGUAGCUGAAACAGUGGACUCAAACACGCGAACAGUGGUGAAGAUGGCACAGGACCAGACUAUAUUUCAUUGUUAAGCCGACUCGACAGCAGCUAAUAACAUCCCAAAUACUGUAAUCAAUUUAAAAGAUGCUUUAUAUUCUUUUGUCGGUAUUAAGUCUUGGAAAUCUGGUGUGUUUUACUCUUACAGGACCAGUUGCUGUCAUGGCUACCCCAUUUGUGUCAGAGUAGAACUGUGCUCCACAGGGUUUUUAAUGACUAAUUUUUUAGAAGUAGAUCACCAGGCCUUUCUUCUGAGGUGCCUCUGGGUGGACUCAGAAUUCCAACCUUUUGGUUAGCAGCCAAGUACUUACUGAUUGCACCACCCAAGGACUCCAGGAAAUUCAGAGAUAGGUUCAUAUGUGCAGCCUAGCUGAGCCAGAAAUAAUGUCUACUACCAACUCUUUAAUUGGUGUGUAAUACUGUAUGUUGUUGUUAGGUGUCAUCUAGUAGGUUCCGACUCAUAGCGACCCUAUGUACAACAGAAAGUGCACCAUCCUCACAAUCGUUAUGCUUAAGGCCAUUGUUGCAGCCACCGUGUCAGUCCAUCUCAUUGAGGGUCUUCCUCUUUUUCGCUGACGCUGGGCUUCACCAAGCAUGAUGUCCUUCUCCAGGGACUGAUCCCUCCUGACAACAUGUCCAAAGUAUGUAAGAUGUAGUCUUGCCAGCCUUCCUUCUAAGGAGCAUUCUGGUUGUAUUUCUUCCAAGACAGAUUUGUUCGUUCUUUUGGCAGUCCAACACCACAAUUCAAAGGUGUCAGUUCUUCUUUGGUCUUCCUUAUUCAUCACCCAGCUUUUGCAUGCAUAUGAUCUGAUUGAAAACACCAUGGCCUGGAUCAGGCAGACCUUAGUGUUCAAGGUGACAUCUUUGCUUUUCAACACUUUACAGAGGUCUUUUGCAGCAGAUUUGCCCAGUGCAAUGCAUCUUUUGGUUUCUUAACUGCUGCUUCCAUGGGUGUUGUAAGAUGUUGUGUAUUCCUUUGUUGGUAUUAAGUCUUGGAAAUCUGGUGUGAACACCCAUAAUAUUGUAUAGGUAUCUAUUGUGUAUCAAAUUGUCUUAAAAUUUAGCAGCCACAGGGCUCCUGUGGAACAUUCAGAUUAUCAAACUGAUCUUCCUAAACCAUUUUCCCCCUACUCACGAAUGGUUGUCUGUUGCCCAUAAGAUAAAGUUUAAAUUCCUUUGCCUGGCUUUCAGUAUCUUCCAUAAUCUUUCCCCAUGCUAUCUGUCCUUUAUAAUACUCUACUAGCUCUAAAUUGACUAAAACACCCCUGCUUUCAAAGAGUGUUUUAUGACUCAUUAGGAAUGGUAAGAAAUACACAAUUCACUAUAAUGAACACGGUUUAGUGCAAAAUACAAAGACAGAGCAAUAGGGAUUUGGAAGAGAUACCUCAUCCAGUUAGAGCAAAAAAGUUUUCACUAAGAAGUUGACAUUUUCAGAUGGGUUCUGGGAUUGAGGAUUUCACCUGCAAGUGGAAAAGGAGGUGGACCAGGUAGAAGAAAUGCUGUGGAGGGAGGAAAACAAGGGGCAUAUUUAGGAAGAGUGCAAGUCUAGUUUGGCUGAAACAUAGGAUACAAGGAGGAAAAGUAAGAGUGAAAAGUGUUAAGUCAUCAUUAAGUAAAGCCUUUCCAUUUCUGAAACACAUAAAUCCCUGUUGUUAGUUGCCGUGGAACUGGUCCCCCAACUCACAGUGACUCAGCAAACAAUGCUUCCCAGUCGUCCAUCUUAGAAUGGAAACUCGACUGAAACCUGUUCAGCAUCGUAGCAACAUACAAGCCUCUGCUGACAGAUAGAUGGCGACAGCGCAUGAGGUACGUACGUUGGGCAGGAUCAAACCUGGGUCUCCGGCAUGGAAGCCGAGAAUUCUACCGCUGAGCCACCAUUGCCCCCGUCUGUGGAUCCCUUCUGUUUACCAAAUGAAGACUCAACAGCAGACUCUGCAAUUCAAGAACCACAUUACUUUGUGUCCUGACGUAGUUUGGAAUUAAGCGAACUAUCUUAAGGGCUAUGCCACAGUAUCCAAAACAAAUUCUAAUUUUCAAUAUUUUUAAAUCUAUAUUGUUACAGGCAGUCUCAGUUUACAUUUUUCUGUAGUGUUCAUUGUGUGCUCACACAUUUGGUAAUAUUUUUUGAUAAUAUUCUCAGCAGAGAUUAGAUGCAUUAAGUUAGACAGUACUGUUGCCUCCAUGAACUGCCUCCUUUGCCAUGAAACCAGAACUGGAUGGUGCCUAGUUACCAUUAUUGAACAUUCUGAUCAAAGAUUCCAUAUAAGAAUCCUGAUCAAAAGGGGGAAAAUGCAGAACAGAAUUUCAAAUUCUUAUCAACUUGAGACUUCCUAUAGCCAUGGAGGCUGGAUGAACCCCUGAAACUAUUGCCCUGAGAUAACCUUUAAACCUUAAACCAAAAAUACUCCCUGAUGUCCUCUUAAGUAGUUUAGCUUAACUAGUAAAAUAGCUUAACUAGUAAAGAGCCCUGGUGGUGCAGUGGUUUAGAGCUCAGCUACUAACCAAAAGGUCAGCAGUUCAAAUCCACCAGCUCUUUCUUGAAAACUCUAUGGAGCAAUUCUACUCUGUCCUAUAGGGUCACUAUGAGAUGUAAUCGACUGGAAGGCAACAGGUUUGGUUUUGGGGUUUAGUUGUAGAAUCAUGAUGAUUAAAUAUCCUAACUGUAAUUGAGUGUCUUCUAUAGUUUAGACUCAGGGUGGGCAAACUUCUUCUGUAAAGGGUCAUGUAUUUUAGGCUUUGUAGGCCUGUUGCAGGCCUGGUCCCUGUUGCAACCAUUUCCUUUUGCUGUUACGGCAUAAAAGUGGCCAUAAAUAAUACAGAAAUGAAUGAACAUGGCAGUGUUCCAAUAAAACUGUAUUUAUGGAUGCUGAAAUUUGAAUUUCAUGUAUUUUCCCCAUGCCACAAAAUAUUAUUCUUUUGCUUUUUCCCCCAACUAUUCAAAAAUGUAAAAAAUAAUCCCUAGCUUGCAGGCCAUACAAAAACAGCUGGCAGGCCAGAUUUGGCCAAUGAGGCAUAGUUUGCCGACCCCAGUCUUAAACUCUUAAUCCUCACAACAUCCUAGGAGGUAGGUCCUAUUACAUCUUAAUUUUGUACAUUAGAAAAACAAGCAGAGGGUUGUCAGGUGACUUUCUCAGCAUCCCACAGGAAGUGUUAGAAUCUUGUACAUGGUCCACAGAGUCAGGUGAAGUAAUAGACAUUUCCCAACAUUGUCCAUCCAGUUAUUUGAAAGGCAUUUAUUGGACAAUGAGCCUAACAGUGCUAAGCCCAUGAUAGCCAUUAAAAGAAACUUAUAGUUUUCUUAUGAGUAGGUACUUGUUGAUUGCCUUUGUUUUAAUGUGUAAAAAGAGUCAGAAAAAAAAAAUCAGUAUCUUGAUUUUUGUACAGCUUUUUUCCUCCCUGAAAAGAGCUUCAGGCAUACUUUUUUUCAUUCCUUUUCAAAGCAUCCCAGUGUAAGAGCACAGGAAUUUGUUACUCCGUGUUUGGAAAACUGAGGCCAUGGCUUGGGAGCGUUAAGUGAUUUUACCUUACGUCUUAGGAGCAUAAUAUUAAUGUCAGAACCAGAACCCAUAUUUCUAGCUUUCUUUCCCAACAUAAAUGCUGUGGUGAAAGUAGAGAAAGAAUACACGAAUAUAUAGCUGAGCCUUUUUAACUCCAUUGUGACACAAAUGACCUGGGACCUAACAGUAGUUAGGAGUUGUCAGAAUAAUUUUCUAUCUUGCUAUUAACACAGCUGGAGCAGUGUAAAGAAAUAUAUCAAUCUAAAUUACUAAAGAAAGUUUAUAUCUUUUUUCCUGCCUUAAAAUAAGUGUGGAUUUUCCCGAGAGUGUGGCCCCUGGACACCCUUUUAACUCAGUACUGAAGUCACUCCUGAGGCUCACCCUUCAGCCAAGGAUUAGACAGGCCCAGAAAACAAUAAUACUCAUAGCUCAACCACAUAUAUGGGCUGAAUGGGCACACCCGCCCAGGGGCAAGAAUGAGAAGGCAGGAGGGGACAGGAAAGCUGGACAAAUGGAAAUGGGAACCCAAGGUUGAGAAGGGAAGAGAGCUGACACGUCGCAGGGUUGACAACCAAUGUCACAAAACAAUACGUGUAUUACUUCUUUAAUGAGAAACUAAUUUGCUCUGUAAACCUUCAUAUAAAGCACAAUAAAAAAAUAAGCAUGGAUUUGCUUCUUGCUGAAAACCAGUAGGACGCUGGCAUUUGCCAUUUUUUUAAAAGCAAGAAAGCUGCCCUUACUUCACAGACAUGAGCGCGCUGCCCAAAAUGCAUGGAGACCAAAGUUUAUUGUGGUUACGAGGGAGGGGCGGGUGUGAGGAGAGAACUGGGGGUUAUUGCUUAUGGGGUACUGAGUUUCUACUGAGGGUGAUGAAAAAGGUUGGAAGCAGACAGUGGUGAUGGCUGCCCACCAUGGGAACAUAAUGUCUCCGAAUUGUGCACAUAAACUGGCCCAUAGAGUUUCCAGCGAGUGCCUGGUGGACUCAAACUGCCAACUUUUUGAUUAGCAGCCGUAGCUCUUGACCACUGCAGCACCAGGGUUUCCUAUACACACAAAAACGGUUGAAAUGGUAAAUGUUGUAUAUUUCACCGCGAUAAAAAAAUGUUUUUAACUGAGAUGCCUAAAUAUGUUAUGGAUAUUUGCCAAUUGCAAAACCUUAUAAAAAUAAACAAAUACUUCCCCUAAUGUUCUACUAAAUUGGGGAGGGAGCAGUUUUUUUUAAAAAAUCACUUUUGAAGAUUUUUAGGGUAAGGGGGAAAAAACGGGGGGUCUUCAGAAUGACAGUGUAAGCACUGUUUCCAGCCUGAAUUGAUCUUGCACAGCAAGCUUUGACUUCUCAAGCUCUGCUUUACUGUUUCAGGUCAAAAUACAUGAUCAAAGUAUACUAUUCCCAUUGUGCUCAGCAUAUCCUACAGGAGUGAGAAAACCAUUGUUCUACAAUGCCUCUAUAAUAAAAAAAAAAAAAGUCAUGGUUCACAUUGUAAUGACGGCACUCCACUUUGAUCUUAUAAAGCCAUUCUUUAGCAGUUUUUUCAGAUACAGGGGAAACAGGACUAUUGAUAGAAAUUCUCAUGAUAAAGGAUAUGCAGUCGCCUACUCUCCUGGAUUCAUGGGUUGAUUUUCUACUAUAACUUAAAGCUAGAGACAGGGUUAUAUCCAACAGCCUUCCUGCACCCCUAAAAAAAAGCACACACAUACACUCAAAGCCCCUCAACACCCACGUGUUUGUUUCAGCUAAAAGCUUUGAGAAAAGUACCAUUAUUGUAUGGUGUAGAUUUCUAUUCACAUAUAUCCUUGAGCAAAUAAUACUAAACUGCAUGUAUGUUUAUAAUGCUGUCAUCUCUAGAGAGAUAAUAGGUCUCUUCCACAGUGCUGGUAACACACUUUUCUAUCCUACCAACCUCCCCAUUCCCAAACUCCUUUGAAUGUACAGCUUAUUUUAUUCUAGCUUUAUUGUUUAUUCCAUCACACAUUAUCAGCCCUUGAGAGUGGAUCUUCUUGAAGAUUUGUUCAGUCACUUGUAAUACAUCCUUUAAUGACCUGGAUUAUUUAACUUCCUGUUUUUCCCUCAUGAAGAAAUUGAAAUGAGCUUUAAACUUUUUCACCUCAAGGUCAAGAAUUUUUUUUAAGUGAAGAAACGUACAUGUAAAAAAAAAAAAAAAAGAAACUUGGAAACGACUAUUUUAUAAA
This is a long non-coding RNA of Loxodonta africana (African savanna elephant), 6239 nucleotides long. RefSeq lists it as uncharacterized. NCBI's taxonomy places the organism in Eukaryota, Metazoa, Chordata, Mammalia, Proboscidea, Elephantidae. The transcript has 2 exons. The record is from RefSeq and is a predicted model, not a curated record.